Molecule: ribosomal RNA, 468 nt
Filed under: uncultured bacterium
Lineage: Bacteria
Description: partial 16S ribosomal RNA
Rfam family: Bacterial small subunit ribosomal RNA
Source: RNAcentral
GACGAACGCUGGCGGCGUGCUUAACACAUGCAAGUCGAACGGAAAGGCCCUGCUUUUGUGGGGUGCUCGAGUGGCGAACGGGUGAGUAACACGUGAGUAACCUGCCCUUUACUUUCGGAUAACUGCAGGAAACUGGGGCUAAUACCGGAGAGGAGCUCCGGCUGCAUGGUGGGGGUUGGAAAGUUUCGGCGGUUGGGGAUGGACUCGCGGCUUAUCAGCUUGUUGGUGGGGUAGUGGCUUACCAAGGCUUUGACGGGUAGCCGGCCUGAGAGGGUGACCGGCCACAUUGGGACUGAGAUACGGCCCAGACUCCUACGGGAGGCAGCAGUGGGGAAUAUUGCACAAUGGGCGGAAGCCUGAUGCAGCGACGCCGCGUGCGGGAUGACGGCCUUCGGGUUGUAAACCGCUUUCGCCUGUGACGAAGCGUGAGUGACGGUAAUGGGUAAAGAAGCACCGGCUAACUACGUG